RNAcentral lists this ribosomal RNA (218 nucleotides) under uncultured bacterium. RNAcentral's name for it is "partial 16S ribosomal RNA". It matches the Rfam family "Bacterial small subunit ribosomal RNA", at positions 1283 to 1500 of the family's 1533-position model. The record is from RNAcentral.
ACGUCCCAGUUCGGAUUGUAGUCUGCAACCCGACUACAUGAAGCUGGAAUCGCUAGUAAUCGCGAAUCAGAAUGUCGCGGUGAAUACGUUCCCGGGUCUUGUACACACCGCCCGUCACACCAUGGGAGUCGGAAAUGCCCGAAGUCAGUGACCCAACCGUAAGGAGGGAGCUGCCGAAGGUGGAGCCGGUAACUGGGGUGAAGUCGUAACAAGGUACC